Molecule: non-coding RNA, 8355 nt
Organism: Monodelphis domestica (gray short-tailed opossum)
Lineage: Eukaryota; Metazoa; Chordata; Mammalia; Didelphimorphia; Didelphidae
Source: RefSeq, a predicted model, not a curated record
AGAUCACAUUUGAACAGAGGACUUCCUGUCUCCAUCCACUGAGCCACCCAGCUGCCCCUUUAUUUGAUUUCUGAAGGGAUGAUGGUGGCCAGCAAUUGUUUCUGAUACCACAAGACGACAGACGAAGGCCCCAUUUUUCAGUAUUUUAAGCCAUUCCUAGUUUCUUAUGCUAGAUUAAAAAGCACAUUUCAUCGUUCCAUAACGUGCCUCCUAAGUCAGUAAUUCGGUAGCGUAGUGCGAGGAAGAAUAGCUCGAGCCAGCCACAGCGGUGACAUCAUGUCAUCCAGUGAGAUGUCCAGGCGACCCCGGAAGGAGAACCUCUUUCUUGAACAGACGACUGCGGAAGAAGAUCGACCUUGACUGGUCCAGCCCAUUUUCCAGCUCGCUGUGACUAGGGGACCCGUUGAAGGGAAGGGUAAUUCCUGAGGUGGUUGUCCAGAGAUGUGUCUCCUGCUUGGGAUGACUGUCAGGAGGCUUUGAGGGCGCUCUUUACCGCCACCCUGGAAGACAGAUGAGGGCGCUCUUUACCGCCACCCUGGAAGACAGACAAGGCCCUCUGCUUUAAACGAGCCUAAAAGAGGGAAUCUUGGCCUUGAGGGAGCCGCUAAGCACAUUCAGCCUUCCUGGAGAGAAAUGGGCCUGCGUCUCCUCUGUCGCCUCACCCCUUUGCACCUUAUUAACAAGCACUUCAAACGCUGGCAAGGGAAUCCCGACACUUUAACAAGGAUGAGGAAGCUUCCUAAGAACGUUCUUCCUCUCGACAUCUCCACUCGUGUGGAUGCCUCCAGUGGACGUGGAACAUGGACUGGUGACAGUUACUGAAGCAAUGCAGAAAGUCGACAAUUCCCGUUUCCCAGGCUCCACACUGGAAACUCCGUUGCUAUUGUCUUGAGCACCUCUGACAGCGCAUAAAAUGCGGAGCUUUGGGAGAAAAAGGCCUCUGUUCGUCCUCGCCGGAAUUUAGCACUACGUGAACCGGCAGCCAUCUUGUUGACCAGCUGCAUCUCUACCUCAGGCCCCUACAAGGUCAGCUUAAAGAGACCGAACCAUCUGGGUAGUUCCUGGGUUUGCUCCCAGGCACUUUCCUCUUCUUACAUUCAUUUUAAACGGGUGACUUCUUAAAGGUUUUGUCCACGACGGGUAGAAAUGCUGCUGGGUUUAUUUCCUGGCCGGCUGCCUUGCUCGGUAUGGGUGCUUUCCACCCAUUUUGUGAGGGGAUCUCCAGACUUUUCCACAUAGACCAUCCCAUUAUCUGUGAUAACGCCCUUGCCAGAUAUUAUUCCAUUGUUCCACAUCACGUACUGCUCUCCGAUCCAGCUUGUUGUCAACUCUUGCCUAGUUUAAGUCCUUUAGGGAUUUGAAAUCAUAAUAUUUAGGGGAUCACUUGGUCAUAUCUCACUGUUUGGGCUGAAAAGUUGUCAUGGAAUGUGAGCUAUAAUUUUUUUUAACUUUCAUUAUUGGUUUUUUCUUUUGAUUUGUAAGAGGAUAUUUGAUUUUAUUGACUCUAAUACCUAUGCAUACCCCAAAGCUUUAGACUAUAGAAACCUGCCAUUGAUUGUUAGGUAUUAGGGGACCUUGACUAAUAAUUGUGUCAGAUUUCAGAAGAAGGGAUCACAAAAGAGCCACUGUACAGUGCCAAGAAGCACAAGGUCAAAGAGACCAUCAAUCCCUGUGGGAAUGAUGAGAAUUUGUGCCAAGACGGAGGACUUGUUUUGAGGUUAAAAGAAGUGGCUAUUUGACAACUUCAGACACUUGACUCCACCAUGCCAUAUUUUCUACAAGUACCUUAGUUGGGCUGCCAUUUUGUCUCCCCUAUCCCUGAGAGUAAAGGAAAAACCAGACUAGGGAUUCACAUAUUUUCCCUUUUACUUCAAAGUCUAGGCCCUCUUCUCUUCUAUAAUAUGACAGUUUUCUGUAGUCUUGGCUGCUGAUAGGUAAAGUGUAAUAUUACUACAAUUGUCCUAUAGGCUUGUGGGACAUAAAUCACUUUAAUUGGACCCUGAUUUAAGGAGCUAUUAUGGACUUAUUCUUGCUUACUCAAAAUUUUAUGUAUAUAGGUUAUUUUUCCCAAAAUUUAAUUUUUUUCUAUCUAUUUGGGGUUUUUUUAUGUUUUGAAUUCUUUUGAGAAUUGAUUCUCAGGGGAAGGUUAUAUAAUUUUCAUAAAAUACAAGAUUUAAAAUUUUUUCUGAGAGAAAUUUCAGGAAAAGAAGCUCACUAACUUCCCAAAUCAAGAAAGUGAAACCUUUUAAAGACGGCACCAUAAAGAAGCCAGUGGAAACCAUAUACUACAUCAGAAGAUCCAGAAUGAACUUUGAGAUGUAGUGAAUUGAACUGAAGGGGGUUGAACACAUUUAUUUUGAAUGUGAACUCUUAUGCCACAGGGGAUUGUCCCCAAUUGUCUUUUGUCAAUGCACCUACCAAUCAUUGGUUUUGCUCCCUUCCUCUUUUAUUUCCCUCUUACCUCCAACUAUCUCCAACUUCCUCUUAGAAAAUGCAAUAUUGUAUGCACCUCUAGUAAGAGAAUACUUAGAGAUAUAAGCUAGUUAUUUUAAAUGAUUCAUUAGGGAGAUUAAGCAUGUAAAUCUGGGAGAUUUCAACAAGCUUGUCUCCCAAUAGAAUCACAGGGGGGGAUUGUGAAAGAAAGAAUUUCAGCAGCGCUCACACUCCCUUGGCUAAAGGCCACCAAGAAAUGAAGAGCCCCAGAAUUUGCCAAGCAAUGAAUGGGAGCAAAUCUCUCUCAGUCUCCUGCUUAUAUACAGUUUUCUCAACCCAUCAGCUCUCCUCAUCACAUCUCAGGAAUAAAUCAUAGCCUUUCAAUUUGCCUAGCACUGCCCAAGGUGGAGGGGUUAGGGGGUGGAGGAGGGAGGCGGGCAGUGAUUGUGGCCUGUUAGGGAGUGAACUUUCUUUGUUAGUGACUUACUAAGUGUUAAGUAGGGAUACUUUAAAUUCUUGAUUGAUUAACUUAAAAUAGACAAAGGGAAUAAAAAUUCCAUUUCACUCUAUUCAGUCUCAGUUAUUAUGCUUCCAUAGAUUCUUAAGAUAGUACUUUAAAAAGAUGUAUCCCUCAAACAAUAACGCCCCUUAGGGUGUCUGUGGUCAAGUUCCCUUGACAUGAGUUUGAGGGUACAUUCAAUCACAAAUUUGGUAGAGUUACAUUGACUUUCUAAAGCUAUAUUAAAAAGGCUGAUAGCGAGAUCUAUGCUUCAUUGAACAAGAAUGUAAUUUUUAAGAGAAUUAAGCCCAAGGGCAUUGGUCAAAGAAUUUCUAGAGAAAAAAGAUCAUCUUAAUUGCUGCUAUGGAUAAAUAAAAUAAAGAAGGCUAUUCUUUAUAAGUGUGGGGGAAAUGAAGGGCUUUUCCCUAGCAAGUUCUAUCUCUCUCUCCCUUUCCUAGUGUGGUGGCUAAUGGAAGAGCUUGCUUCUUCAAAGAAAAAAUUAAGUUGAAACUGAAGCGGACCUUAUGUGCCGCCCAGUGGAGUCAAACAUAACAACCACCAGCUUUGCCAUAUAACCAAGAGAGCAACUCUGAACAUCGGUCUAUAUCCUCAGAGCACAAACAGCUGGCUGGGCAACAUAAAUGUCAGAGAUGUCAUGCAGGGUUACCCAAAAUAUGCAGGUCCAAGUGGAGUGAAGGAAAUGACAAACUACUCCAGUAUCUUUGCCAAGAAAACUCCAUGAACAGUACCAAAAUGAUCAAAAUACGGCAUCAGAAGCUAAGCCGCCCAGUUUGGAAGUGUCCAGUGGGUUACUGUGUAAGACAGUUACAUGUAAUUCCCCAAAGAAUGAAGUUGCUAGACCAAAACCGAAAGGAAACUCAUCUGGGGAUGUGUCUGGUAAAGAAAGGAAAUGUGGUGGCAUUAAUGUCAAUAUUGCAUAAAAGCCUGGAAUCAUCAUCUAUGAUGAAAGUAAGCUGGAUCUGAUCAAACAGGAGAUGGAAAGAUUAAACAUUAUCAUCUGGGAAGUCAGUGAACUUAAAUGGAUGAGAAUGGGUGAAUUUAAUUCAGGUGAUCAUUAUCUACACUACUGUGGGCCAGAAUCCCUUAGAAGAAAUGGAAUAGGACAGCUAGGUGACUCAGUGGAUAGAGAUUAAAGGAGGUCUUCUGUCCAAAUCUGGCCUCAGGCACUUUCUAUCUGUGUGACCUUGAGCAAGUCAUUUAACUCCAAUUGCCUAAUCCUUACUGCUCUUUGUACCUUGGAACCAAUACUUAGUAUUGAUUCUAAAAUAGAAAGUAAAAGGUUUGGUUGGGGUUUUUUUUGGUUUUGUUUUGUUUUUUUUUUUUGUAAAAAAGAAGAAAUAGAGUAGCCCACCUUGUCAAUAAUAAUAGGGUGAGAAAACCAGAACUGGGAUGUAAUCUCAAAAAUGAAAUGCUAUCUGUCACAGUAAUAGAAGUCUAAGUUUCAACCUUUGAUGGGAAAGAGUCCAAAGUUGGUCUGUUCUAUGAAGACCUAUAAUAUCUUCCAGAAAUAACAUCAAAAAAGAUGUCACACUCAUCAUAGUGGAUUAAAAUGCUAAAGUAGGAAAUCAAACAAUAACUAAAAUAACAGGCAAGUUUGGUCUUGGAGUACAAAAGGUUAGAGUUUUGUCAAGGAUCACUGGUCCUAGCAAAUGCUUUUUUUUUUUCAACAAUCCAAAAAGCAACUUUAUACAUGGAUAUCACCAAAUGGUCAUCGUAGAAAUCAGACUGAUUAUAGCUUUUGCAGCCAAAGGUAGAGAAACUCUAUAUAGUCAGUUCAAACCAGAGACCUAGAGCUAACCCUGGCUCAAAUGAUAAGUUUGUUAUUGCAAAAUUCAUAUUUAAAUUGAAGAAAGUAGGAGAAAAUCAUGAGAACAUGUAGUAUCCCUUACGAAUAUGAAGUGAAAGUAAUGAAUUGGUUUAAGGGAUUACAUCUACUAGUAUCUGAAGAACUAUGGGCAAAGGUUCACAAUACUGUCUGUGAGUCAGCAAUAAUGAAAAUUAAAAAAAAAAUAAAAGAGUAAGAAAGCAGUGACUACCCCAUAAGGCUUUACAAAUAGCUGAGGAAAGAAGGAAAAGGAAAGAAGAAAGAGAAAGGGAAAGAAAUCCCACUGAAUGCAGAAUUCCAAACAAUAGCAAGGAGAUAGAAAAGGUUUUCUUAAAAUAAGGCAAAGAAAUAGAAAAAAAACACAAUAGAAUGGGAAGGAAAAAAAUCUCUUCAAGAAAAUUAGAGCUAUCAAAGGAACUGAGGAAAAUUAUUGUUAGAUUGUAUCACUAACAAUAUUUUCACAUGAAUCUAUUUGCUUUCUCAGACUCCAACCUCUAAAGGUCAGGCAAUUCUCUUCAAGGCCAAAAUUGAGUAAGGACUCCCAGGAUCCCAAGGCACUUACAUGGUCAGUGACCCUUUCCUUUCAUUUACCUUGUAAAACAAAAAAACAGGAGGGCAGGAACUCCUAUUCUUGGUUUAUGUUAUAAAUAAAAAUGCAUUUCUUAGGUGCCAAAAAGGGGUAGUAAUAGGAGAGGAUCUGAGAUGUCUAAUCCCACCUCCUCAUUAAAAUAUCCACCAAUCAGACUGCAAGAGGAAGUCAUAAUGAUAUACUGUCAGGUUCAUCUGAAGAGUUUAUGACAGUGAUAGCAAACCUAUGGAAAGUGUGCCAAAAGGGGCACAAAGAGCCCUCUCUGUUGUCAUGCCCACAAUCACCCACCAGAGUUCAUUACUAGAAAGGCAGAGGGACUCACCCUUUCCAUGUGCCUAAGGACAUUCCUCACUUCACCACCCUUCUGCCCAGCAGCUCAUUGGGAGCCCUUCCUCCCUCCCCUGUCUGGGGGAGUUGGCUCACAUGCUGCAUAAGGGUGCCGGGCAGAUGGCGACCUGUUGAGUCUAUGGUGAAGGUGAUUCCCAUGGUAGGGCUGGAGAGGAGCUAGGUUUAAGAGAGGCAGAGCUCACAGUGGGGCACAUGACUGGAGGAGAGCAGAGAGCUGGGGCCACUAGCUCCCCCUCUCCACAUUCACCUCUCAUCACCUGCCCCCUGCCCAGCAGCCCAAUGGGAACAUUUCUUCCUUCCCCUAUCUGGGGUAAGGGUGGGGGGAGACAAGAUGGGGUGGAGGGGGCAGAGGAGGAGGAGCACAGCCUUUGGGGGACAGGGCAGGCCCAGCAUUCCAUCUCUAAAUGAUUCACCAUCACUGCUAUAUGACUUUGCACUCUCUCAAUCAACUUCUUUGCACUACAUAUUCAGUAAACCAGCAAAUUUGGAAAAUUCAACAGUGAUCCCCGGACUGAAAAGAUGGGUUUAUGGCCCAGUCCUAAAGCAGGACAAUGGCAAAGAAUGCUCAAAUCACCAAAUUGUGCCCAUUUCACAGGCCAGAAAGGCUAUGCAAGAUAGGCUUCAACACUGUAUGAAUUGAGGGUUACCAGAAGGGCAGGCUGGCUUUCACAGAGGCAGAGGAAGGAAAGACAAAAAGGACAACAUUCCCUGGAUUAUGAAGGAAGCGAAGGAGUUCUGGAAGAGCCUCUGACUGUGGAUCACAACAGGAACGGGUCCUCAGGGAGAUGGGGGCAGCAGGCGGUCUUCUCUCCUCCUAAGGCACCUGUGUGCAGGUCAAGAAGCAACACUUAGAACUGAUCGGGGGACAGGGAGCAGCGAAUUCAUUUGAGAGGAAAAGAAAGUCUAUUUACUAUGCAAUGAGAAAAGCCAGGUGCAGUUAGGAGAGGACAUCUUGGCUCUAGUUUGUCCAUCUGUGAAAUGAAUGAGCUACCAUUUGAGCCCUAAUGCGUCUUCCGACUCUAUAACAGAGAAUGUUCUCUCUUGAAAGAAUUCCGAAACAUGAAGCAAUUUCCCUUCCCCAGCCCAGGAAACCUGUGACUAUAAAGACAAGUCGAACAUCCAUCAAAUCUGAACAAGGAAGCCAACGGAAGACAAUAUCAAAAAGACAGGUUGAACAUCCAACCAAAUCUAAAUAAGGAAGCCAAUGGAAGACAAUAUCAAAACCUGCUCUUUCCAGCACAAAUCAGGCAGUGGCCCUGCCAUGGCCAUCUUCCAGUGAAUCUGAGUCACGAUAAAAAUCAUACAUCAAAACAGUAUCAUCCCUUUCCCGUUUUUGAGAAGAAAACGCAAACUUUGCUGACUGUGACAGAUACUCUACCAGAAUGAAAUUCUAAUCAGGAUCGAUCUCUGAAUCUAAUAGGAAAUAGAAUGAAAAGACAACAAAAUCCCAAUGCCAACAGAGAACCACAUCAAGCAAUGUACUUAGUUAUACAAAUGGGGAGCUGCAUGCAGAGACUUGAUGGGAUGUGAAAGCUAAAAGAGACAGGAUACAGUUUCAAAAAGAAUUGAACCGGGAGGAAAGAAGCUUACAUGCCGGCCUUCCCUCUACCCUUGUGACCUUAGAAAUAGCCCCUUUACCCUUUGAAACUUCCGUUUCCUAUCAGUAAAAUGUGGAUAUUGAACUAAAUGCCCUUUAAGUCUCCUCCCUGUUCUACCAUUCUGUAAGUCUGCGAGGUCAGGCAUCAGAAUGAGGUUACCGCUCUCAUCUGUUCGACCAGCAAAGUUCCAAAGACAGCACUGAAACCCUGGCUAGUUCAAGGUCUGGGCAAUGGCUAACCUCCCACCAUUUCCAAAUAAUCAGUAAUUGUGAUGUCAGAAAGCAGACGAAUGAUGCUAACCUAAAAAGUUAAAUUGGAGAGAAAUUUGAGCUGAAAGAGGUUUUUCUUAAACAAGUAAAAAUAGGGUAGACUUCUGGUAAGAUGGCUAAUUAAAGCCAGAUCUCCUUUGUCCCCUAUAAGCAACAUAAAAUGAGCCAAAUAAAGUAAAAGGGAAAAAAACAGUAAAAGAGGAAAAAGAAGAGAAAGAAUCUUCACAAGCAAAAUUAGUAGACUGAAUAAAUGAAUAAUAAAAAACAAGCAAUGAAUAUAAUCAAUAAAUACCAUGAGGCAAAAGAAAACAAGGAAAAACCAUCAGAAGAAAGUCAUAGUGCUACAGCAAUACCAGGCAGAACUUCAGCAGACCGAAUGGAACACCUCCAAACACCAUCCGAGUGGUUUAGAAACUCCGUAAAAGACUUAAAGGAAGAUCUGGCAACUAUAAAGAUGGAAAUAAAAUCUCUUAAAGAAGAAUACAAUAAGACAAACAUGAGAAUCGAUAGCUUAGAAUUGAAGGUGGAAAAUUUUCAUAAUGCAGUGAGUUCUCUGAAAAAGAAAAUUUCAGAGACAGAUUCCAAAAAUGGAAGAAUGGCCUAAUGGUACACUUUCCAGCUAGAACGAUUGAUACUUGUUUGGGCUUAAUAUCACGAUACAGGAACGUUCAAGAGUGUUCCCUUUCUUGGUUUACUCCCAAGAGACUAAGAUAAAUGUAUGUAAAAACAUUGCUUUUAAGAGACAAUAAAUAUAUGCUUGCUUUCUACCUUAA